AGAGGUUUGAUCCUGGCUCAGAUUGAACGCUGGCGGCAGGCCUAACACAUGCAAGUCGAGCGGUAGCACAGAGAGCUUGCUCUCGGGUGACGAGCGGCGGACGGGUGAGUAAUGUCUGGGAAACUGCCUGAUGGAGGGGGAUAACUACUGGAAACGGUAGCUAAUACCGCAUAAUGUCGCAAGACCAAAGUGGGGGACCUUCGGGCCUCAUGCCAUCAGAUGUGCCCAGAUGGGAUUAGCUAGUAGGUGGGGUAACGGCUCACCUAGGCGACGAUCCCUAGCUGGUCUGAGAGGAUGACCAGCCACACUGGAACUGAGACACGGUCCAGACUCCUACGGGAGGCAGCAGUGGGGAAUAUUGUACAAUGGGCGCAAGCCUGAUGCAGCCAUGCCGCGUGUGUGAAGAAGGCCUUCGGGUUGUAAAGCACUUUCAGCGGGGAGGAAGGCGUUAAGGUUAAUAACCUUGGCGAUUGACGUUACCCGCAGAAGAAGCACCGGCUAACUUCGUGCCAGCAGCCGCGGUAAUACGGAGGGUGCAAGCGUUAAUCGGAAUUACUGGGCGUAAAGCGCACGCAGGCGGUCUGUCAAGUCGGAUGUGAAAUCCCCGGGCUUAACCUGGGAACUGCAUUCGAAACUGGCAGGCUAGAGUCUUGUUGAGGGGGGUAGAAUUCCAGGUGUAGCGGUGAAAUGCGUAGAGAUCUGGAGGAAUACCGGUGGCGAAGGCGGCCCCCUGGACAAAGACUGACGCUCAGUGCGAAAGCGUGGGGAGCAAACAGGAUUAGAUACCCUGGUAGUCCACGCCGUAAACGAUGUCGAUUUGGAGGUUGUGCCCUGAGGCGUGGCUUCCGGAGCUAACGCGUUAAAUCGACCGCCUGGGGAGUACGGCCGCAAGGUUAAAACUCAAUGAAUUGACGGGGGCCCGCACAAGCGGUGGAGCAUGUGGUUUAAUUCGAUGCAACGCGAGAACCUUACCUGGUCUUGACAUCCACAGAACUUUCAGAGAUGGAUUGGUGCCUUCUGGAACUGUGAGACAGGUGCUGCAUGCUGUCGUCAGCUCCUGCUGGUGAAUGAUUGGGUAAGUACGCACGAGCGCAAUCCUUAUUCCUUUUGUGUCUACGGUCCGCCGGGACUCAAAAGAGAACUGCAGGCGAUAAAUGAGGAAAGAUG
This 1167-nucleotide ribosomal RNA is filed under the name Klebsiella pneumoniae. Its description in RNAcentral is "bacterial SSU rRNA". It matches the Rfam family "Bacterial small subunit ribosomal RNA", at positions 1 to 1176 of the family's 1533-position model. The record is from RNAcentral. Lineage: Bacteria; Pseudomonadati; Pseudomonadota; Gammaproteobacteria; Enterobacterales; Enterobacteriaceae.